Long non-coding RNA from Gasterosteus aculeatus (three-spined stickleback), 732 nucleotides. The record is from Ensembl. Lineage: Eukaryota; Metazoa; Chordata; Actinopteri; Perciformes; Gasterosteidae.
AUGAUCAGAGUGCUUGAUUGUUUGGAGGGCGAAAACAAACUAGUGGAUGUGAAUGUGUUGGCAGCCAGGACUGGUGACCACAGAGACGACCGAACAUUUGUCACAACCAGGACCCCAAAAGAGGCGAUACUGGUGCUGAUAGACACGAGCUCUUCCAUGGAAGAGGAGUGCUAUGGGGGUUCAGACAUAAAGAAGAUCAACGCGGUGAAAGAGCUCUUUGACAACUUUGCCACCAGGACCAUGGCUUAUGAUUUUUGUCAUGUCAUCGGCCUUGUGACGUUUGACUCCAUGGUGAAAAUUCUCCACACUUUUACGGAAAAUCUGGAAAAGUUCAAGGAACACAUGCGCAACGUCGAGGCAAGCGGUUGCACUCUGCUGUACGACGCCCUGCGGCGUGCGGCGUUGGAGUUGGAAAAGGUGCAGACGAGGUUCCCAGAUUGCCGACUUCGCAUAAUGUGUCUCACUGAUGGAAAUGAUUCUGGAUCCUCCGUCGAGCCGGACGCGGUUACAGUCAAGCUGCUUAACUCCAACAUCGUCGUGGACUCGAUCGUCCUGGGGAACGUGGAGAACAACACGCUGCAUGGGAUCAGCAACGCAACAGGUGGUUGCUGCUUCAAACCGCAGACGACCAAAGACGGUCUCAAGCUCUUUGAGAUGGAGACAGUUCUGUCUUUGGAGCAGCGGAAACUCAAGGAAGCACUCGACCCAUCUUCGGUCCUUCAGGUUGGUUGA